AGCUUGAAAAGGGCUAUUUGCUGAAACUGAUGUUUUACAGGGAGACAGAUGAUGUGCCCUGCCCAUCUUUGACACCAGUGAAGAAUUCAGGGACUGAAACCAAUGACAACAUGGAGGGAGCAAUAAACCAUAGGAUGAUGGUACAACAGAGUGCAAACAGGAA
Lacerta agilis (Sand lizard) is the source of this 163-nucleotide long non-coding RNA. RefSeq lists it as uncharacterized. The transcript has 2 exons. The record is from RefSeq and is a predicted model, not a curated record. NCBI's taxonomy places the organism in Eukaryota, Metazoa, Chordata, Lepidosauria, Squamata, Lacertidae.